UCUAAUGAGCACCCACAUCUUUGUAUUAGUGUCUCACACAAGUGAUUGUGAGAUCAAUCACCCUCUACAUUGAGCAUACAUAAGAUGUGCCAGUCUUUCCGGUAAUAUUGAUCCCCGACUCAAUAUACCAAUUUGACUAGGAAUAUUCUAAAUUAGGAUUUUAGGAUUUUAGGUCUCACUAGUAUGAUCUCAUCAUAACCCUAAAACCAAUGACCUAAUUUAUGGGGUUCAUCAUCCAAUAAUAAAAUAGAUAAGCAG
This 258-nucleotide long non-coding RNA is filed under the name Phoenix dactylifera (date palm). RNAcentral describes it as "long non-coding RNA (PDAC_LNC020474)". Lineage: Eukaryota; Viridiplantae; Streptophyta; Magnoliopsida; Arecales; Arecaceae. The record is from RNAcentral.